GUCCACGCCCUAAACAAUGGAUACUCGACGUUCGGAGGAAUCGACCCCUUUGAGUGUCUAAGUUAACACAUUAAGUAUCCCGCCUGGGAAGUACGAUCGCAAGAUUAAAACUCAAAGAAAUUGACGGGGAUCCACACAAGCGGUGGAGCAUGUGGUUUAAUUCGACGGUAAGCGAAGAACCUUACCAAGGUUUGACAUCCUACUAACGCCCUGGAAACAGGGAAGUGCCCGAAAGGGAAAGUAGUGACAGAUGUUGCAUGGUUGUCGU
RNAcentral lists this ribosomal RNA (268 nucleotides) under uncultured bacterium. RNAcentral describes it as "partial 16S ribosomal RNA". It matches the Rfam family "Bacterial small subunit ribosomal RNA", at positions 793 to 1055 of the family's 1533-position model. The record is from RNAcentral.